This 492-nucleotide ribosomal RNA is filed under the name uncultured bacterium. RNAcentral's name for it is "partial 16S ribosomal RNA". It matches the Rfam family "Bacterial small subunit ribosomal RNA", at positions 29 to 507 of the family's 1533-position model. The record is from RNAcentral.
AGUGAACGCUGGCGGUAGGCCUAACACAUGCAAGUCGAACGGCAGCACAGUAAGAGCUUGCUCUUACGGGUGGCGAGUGGCGGACGGGUGAGGAAUACAUCGGAAUCUACUUUUUCGUGGGGGAUAACGUAGGGAAACUUACGCUAAUACCGCAUACGACCUACGGGUGAAAGCAGGGGAUCUUCGGACCUUGCGCGAUUGAAUGAGCCGAUGUCGGAUUAGCUAGUUGGCGGGGUAAAGGCCCACCAAGGCGACGAUCCGUAGCUGGUCUGAGAGGAUGGUCAGCCACACUGGAACUGAGACAAGGUCCAGACUACUACGGGAGGCAGCAGUGGGGAAUAUUGGACAAUGGGCGCAAGCCUGAUCCAGCCAUACCGCGUGGGUGAAGAAGGCCUUCGGGUUGUAAAGCCCUUUUGUUGGGAAAGAAAAGCAGCAGGUUAAUACCCCGCUGUUCUGACGGUACCCAAAGAAUAAGCACCGGCUAACUUCGUG